AGCAGAGCAAUCUGCGAUGGCGUGCCUUUUGUUUAAUGAGUCUGCGAGUCAGUGUUUGUGGCAAGACUAAGGGCUUCCGGCCCGGAGUCGCAGCGAAAGCAAGUCCGAACAGGGCGCAAUAAGUCGCAGGUACUGGACCCGAAGCGGAGGUGACCUACCCUUGGCCAGGUUGAAGCAUGGGUAAAACCAUGUGGAGGACCGAACAGGUGAACGUUGAAAAGUUCUCUGAUGAGCUGAGGGUAGGAGUGAAAGGCUAAUCAAACCCCGUGAUAGCUGGUUCUCUUCGAAAUGCAUUUAGGUGCAGCGUCACGUGCUGAUGCGCGGGGGUAGAGCACUGACAAGGCUAGGGGGCACACCCGCUUACCAAACCUUAUCAAACUCCGAAUACCGUGCAAUGGAACGUGGCAGUGAGACAGUGGGGGAUAAGCUUCAUUGUCGAGAGGGAAACAACCCAGACCAGCAGCUAAGGUGCCUAAAUAACGCUCAGUGGAAAGGAUGUGGGAUUACACAGACAGUGAGGAUGUUGGCUUAGAAGCAGCCACCAUUUAAAAAAUGCGUAAUAGCUUACUCAUCGAGUGAUCCUGCGCCGAAAAUGAUUGGCGAUCAAGCGUUAUACCGAAGCUCUGGACUUUGCCGCAAGGCAGAGUGGUAGAAGAGCGUUGCAUGCGCGUCGAAGGGCGAUGGCGACUGACCCUGGAGCACAUGCAAGUGAGUAUGCAGACAUGAGUAACGUUAAGCCGGGUGAAAUCCCCGGCCGCCGUAAACCCGAGGUUUCCAGGGCAACGUGUUUCGUCCCUGGGUUAGCCGGGACCUAAGCCGAGGCCGAGAGGCGUAGGCGAUGGACAUCAGGUUAAUAAUCCUGAGCUCGCAACCCUUAAACUGGGGGGACGCAUGAGAAAAGAUGACUAGGUUAUUGAAUUCCGAGUUGAGUCCACGGACUCAGCGCAUCAUUGGAUCGAGUGCCAAGAAAAGCCCCAGCGUAUGCUAAGCGACCCGUACCGCAAACCGACACAGGUGGGUGGGUAGAAUAUACCAAGGCGUAAGAGUGAAACCUGGUUAAGGAACUCGGCAAAUUAGCCCCGUAACUUCGGAAGAAGGGGUGCCUGCAGCGAUGCAGGCCGCAGAGAAAUGGCCCAACCGACUGUUUAUCAAAAACACAGCACUCUGCAAAGACGCAAGUCGAAGUAUAGGGUGUGACACGUGACCAAUGCCGAAAGAUUAAGGCAAGGGGUUAGCCGCAAGGCGAAGCUCUAAACCCAAGUCCCGGUGAAUGUCGGCCGUAACUAUAACGGUCCUAAGGUAGCGAAAUUCCUUGUCGGGUAAGUUCCGACCUGCACGAAUCGUGAAACGAGUUGGGCACUGUCUCAACCAGGCGCUCAGUGAAAUUGUAGUGGCGGUGAAGAUGCCGCCUACCCGCAGAAGGACGGAAAGACCCUAUAGACCUUAACUGUAAGCUGUCAUUGUUUCUUCGGUUUUAAUGCUCAGAGUAAGUGGGAGACGCUGAAGACGCCCUUUAGGGGGCGUCCGAGUCAUCAAUGAGACACCACCCUUUGAAACUGGAGGAUCUAACCCUGAGCCGUGAAUCCGGCCAGAGGACCGUGUCAGCCGGUCAGUUUUACUGGGGCGGUAUCCUCCCAAAGAGUAACGGAGGAGCGCGAAGGUGGGCUCAGCCCGGUUGGCAACCGGGUGUCGAGUGCAUGGGCAUAAGCCCGCCUAACUGUGAGACCAACAAGUCGAGCAGAUGCGAAAGCAGGCCCAAGUGAUCCGGCGGUAGAAAGUGGAAUUGCCGUCGCUCAACGGAUAAAAGGUACCUUAGGGAUAACAGGCUGAUCACGCCCAAGAGUUCAUAUCGACGGCGUGGUUUGGCACCUCGAUGUCGGCUCGUCGCAUCCUGGGGCUGGAGAAGGUCCCAAGGGUCCGGCUGUUCGCCGGUUAAAGCGGCACGCGAGCUGGGUUCAGAACGUCGCGAGACAGUUCGGUCCUCUAUCCUCUGUGGGCGUUGGAAAAUUGAGGGGUUCAGACCUUAGUACGAGAGGACCGGGUCUGACGCACCACUGGUGCAUCGGUUGUACUGUCAAGUGCAUGGCCGAGUAGCUAAGUGCGGACGGGAUAAGCGCUGAAAGCAUCUAAGCGCGAAGCCGUCUCCAAGAUGAGACUUCCUUAGAGGGUCGUCGUAGACCACGACGUCGAUAGGCGGGAGGUGCAAGGGCCGCGAGGCUCUCAGCCGACCCGUACUAAUAGCCCGAAAUCUUCCGUGU
RNAcentral lists this ribosomal RNA (2258 nucleotides) under human gut metagenome. RNAcentral describes it as "bacterial LSU rRNA". It matches the Rfam family "Bacterial large subunit ribosomal RNA", at positions 578 to 2925 of the family's 2925-position model. The record is from RNAcentral.